This 254-nucleotide ribosomal RNA is filed under the name uncultured bacterium. RNAcentral describes it as "partial 16S ribosomal RNA". It matches the Rfam family "Bacterial small subunit ribosomal RNA", at positions 524 to 776 of the family's 1533-position model. The record is from RNAcentral.
UACGGAGGGGGCUAGCGUUUGUUCGGAAUUACUGGGCGUAAAGCGCACGUAGGCGGCUUUGUAAGUUAGAGGUGAAAGCCCGGGGCUCAACCCCGGAACAGCCUUUAAGACUGCAUCGCUUGAACGUCGGAGAGGUGAGUGGAAUUCCGAGUGUAGAGGUGAAAUUCGUAGAUAUUCGGAAGAACACCAGUGGCGAAGGCGGCUCACUGGACGACUGUUGACGCUGAGGUGCGAAAGCGUGGGGAGCAAACAGG